This 345-nucleotide long non-coding RNA is filed under the name Lathyrus oleraceus (garden pea). RNAcentral describes it as "Pisum sativum (pea) long non-coding RNA (PSAT_LNC034945)". The record is from RNAcentral. Lineage: Eukaryota; Viridiplantae; Streptophyta; Magnoliopsida; Fabales; Fabaceae.
GUCUUAAAAUUUUGAAUUUUAUUUUUUGAGUAAAAAAGUGAAACUAAAGGUUAGAAUAGAUUAAUAGAAAGUAACCUAACCUGAAUGAAGACUGUCUUCAAAAGUGUGCCAGAAAAACAAGUGAUAUUGGCAGUGAUAAUUUUAAGGUUUAAAGAUUCAAACACUUCACAUAAUUUAACCAUAAAAGUGUGCCAGAAAAACAAGUGAUAUUGGCAGUGAUAAUUUUAAGGUUUAAAGAUUCAAACACUUCACAUAAUUUAACCAUUGUGUCUGUCCUUUUGCUACAUGUCAAGCUCACAACUAUUGUAUUUUCUCCCAUAUAUGUAACCCUAAGCUGCACUCCAC